GGAGGCGUCGCAUAGUGGUCUAGUGCGCACGCUUGGAAAGCGUGUAAGGUGUCAAAGCUUUCGAGAGUUCGAAUCUCUCCGCCUCCG
Molecule: transfer RNA, 87 nt
Filed under: Minisyncoccota bacterium
Lineage: Bacteria; Bacillati; Minisyncoccota
Description: tRNA-Ser
Rfam family: tRNA
About the family: Transfer RNA (tRNA) molecules are approximately 80 nucleotides in length.
Source: RNAcentral